UACGUAGGUGGCAAGCGUUGUCCGGAUUUACUGGGUGUAAAGGGCGUGUAGCCGGGUUGACAAGUCAGAUGUGAAAUCCUGCGGCUUAACCGCAGAACUGCAUUUGAAACUGUUGAUCUUGAGUACUGGAGAGGCAGACGGAAUUCCUAGUGUAGCGGUGAAAUGCGUAGAUAUGUGGAAGAACACCGAUGGCGAAGGCAGCCUCCUGGGACGCAACUGACGCUCAUACACGAAAGCGUGGGGAGCAAACAGG
Molecule: ribosomal RNA, 253 nt
Filed under: uncultured Eubacteriales bacterium
Lineage: Bacteria; Bacillati; Bacillota; Clostridia; Eubacteriales
Description: uncultured Clostridiales bacterium partial 16S ribosomal RNA
Rfam family: Bacterial small subunit ribosomal RNA
Source: RNAcentral